UUGAAUACAGAUAAUCAUGAGGCCCAAGACCCUAAGGAACAGUGCAGCCAGGAGUCGGAAGGAGCCUGGGUUUCUGAAUCAUCACAUGGAGGGGAGCUGUCUUCAGCUGGGAGAGCUGUCUUCAGUUGGAUACUGGUGGCCGUUUGGGCAUCCUGGGCCAGCCCAAGGACAUCUUCCAGUGGCCGUUUGGGCAUCCUGGGUGGUAGCAGGUAUCUCCAUUGCACUCUAUUUGCCACCUCACCCUGAAGGAAGGUACGAGGGCCCCUUCAAACGCCAUACAAAGACCUUCCGGAGUGCCCAGUGUGCAGAUUGCCUGACAUGCGCUCUGGAACCGUGAGCCAUUUGGGAGGUGCAAGAGGAUUCCAGGAAAUGGCAGCAAGGCCUUAGAGGAGUUUAAGUAUGUACUUGGCCAGGACAAAAGUCUGUCUUCAUCUAGGCUCUAGGUGCUGACUUCUGUAACAGGGGAGCUGUUAACUUCUUCCUGGGAAUCCACCUUCUACCCCACACCCAGAAGCAGAGCACCAUCCACUCAGGCCUCCAAGUGCUCCAGGCCUUGUAUUCCACCUCUGCCUACUUUGAGCCAGCAACUGAUUUCAGCAGGAAUUCACUGAGACUGACAUCCUCUAUGCUCAGCACUGUGUGCCAAUAGUAUGGCCACACAAGUAGAUUUUUUCCUAUUUCUCUUUUCUUAGGCUAAUGGUUCAGCUCUAAAGAUAAGACUUAUGUAAGUAAAAUAAGCAGAAUAUCUAUUAACUUCGUAUUCAGUUCCUGAAGGAAUAUAAUCAAAGCAAUACAGGGAGUCGGUACAAGGUAAAGUCAAAGUCGUGUGUUCAAUAUGGUAGCCACUAGCCACAAGCACCUAUUUAAAUGUAAAUUAAAGAAAAUUAAAUGAAAUAAAAAAUGUAGUUUCUCAGUCAUACUAGGCAUAGUAGGUGCUCAACAGCCACAUGUACCUAGUGGCCACUAUACGGGAAAAUGCAAAAUUAACCUUCUCACUAGAGAAAGUCCUAUUGGACAGUAUUGGCUUGCAGUAAUAGAGGCCAACUUCAGAGUAUAGGUGUGGCUCCACCUGGGCCUGGAAGUAUAGCAGAAUUAGAUAGAAGAGGAGGGAAAGGGAAAGGGUCUUCCAGGUGGGACAAACGGUGUUCAGAGAUUGGAAUGAACCUGGCAUACCGGGCCAACACUCAGUGGGAGAGGACUAGCUGGAGUAGAACAUUCCUUUUGAGGAACUGAGAAAGGCAUCAUCACUGAUUAUAACAGGCACAGAGAAUGCAACAGAAGAGCCCAACCUCCUCCUCUCAAUUCUCAAUUGAAAUUGAGAUUGAUGGGAUUCCCGUAAUCCCACCUUUCACUUUUACUCCACCCCAUCAAGAGGACAGGGUUCUGAUUCAACCUUGGGCUUCUGAUCUUGGGGGGUGGGAGCUUGGAGUCAUAACUAAUUAUCUGCUCUAUUUGAAAACACUGCUGGGACUGGACUGUGUUGGGGACCUGAACCUGCAACCUGUGACCUUACUCCCCACUCGAGCUGGCCUUUGAACCUGCUUUGUCACUGAGAAAUGAUGAAAAGCUCAGAAGUCAGACCCACUUGAAUUCAAUUACUGGCACUUCUACUCACCAACCAAGUGCUCAUAGGCAAGUAAUUUAACUCCUCCAAACCUCAGUUUACCCAUCUACAAAAUGGGGAUGAUAAUAGCACUGGCCUCAUAGAAUAGUUAUGAUGGUUCAAUGGGAUAACAGUUGCAAGGGGCUUGGCAUAGUUCACAGCAAAAUGAAAUGAAUAAUCUAUUCAUUAUGUUAUUCCCCUAUCACACUGAAGCUGUUUGCAGGUGCACUGCUGUUAUUGUAUCUGCUUCCUUCUGAAUUAAAAAAUUUUUAAAUAUAA
Molecule: long non-coding RNA, 1882 nt
Organism: Homo sapiens (human)
Lineage: Eukaryota; Metazoa; Chordata; Mammalia; Primates; Hominidae
Gene: ADD3-AS1
Product: ADD3 antisense RNA 1
Source: Ensembl